Molecule: long non-coding RNA, 343 nt
Organism: Sitodiplosis mosellana (orange wheat blossom midge)
Lineage: Eukaryota; Metazoa; Arthropoda; Insecta; Diptera; Cecidomyiidae
Exons: 3
Source: RefSeq, a predicted model, not a curated record
GGCCAUGAAAGAAUACUUGAAAUAUUGAUAAGGAAUGGUGCAAAUGUAAAUAUCAAAGACCAGAAUGGUUGGGCGGCACUAAGCAAAGCAGCAUAUUAUGGUCAUAAAAAGAUAACUGAAUCACUCAUCAAACAUGGUGCGGACGUCAAUGCCCAAGACAACGAAGGAUCGAUACCGAAUCAUAGAGCUGCUGAGUAUAACCAUAGUGAAGUUGUUGAAAUUCUCCUGAGAAAUGGCGCAAAUACAAAUAUUAGAAAUCGAUACGGAAAAACUCCGAAGAAAGUGAUUUGAAUAUAUUUCGAUUUCAAAAAUCUCUUUCUACACAAAAUUGACCAUUGUGAAA